ACACAAAAACAAAAUCCAUUAAAGCUAAAAAGGGUGAAUCCUUUUUAGUUUUAAACAAAAUAGCGAUACUGUAAAUUUAAAUAAUAUAUAUAAUUAAAUUAAAAUUUAAAAAAAAGGCAACUUGGCAGUCAUGGAAGUUAAACAUUAAAAACGUUUAGUAGACAAUGGCUAAAAAGAUUGUUAUAUUUUAAAAAUAUUA
This 199-nucleotide unclassified non-coding RNA is filed under the name uncultured fungus. Its description in RNAcentral is "sequence contains ITS1, 5.8S rRNA gene". The record is from RNAcentral. Lineage: Eukaryota; Fungi.